Molecule: ribosomal RNA, 115 nt
Filed under: Pteropus alecto (black flying fox)
Lineage: Eukaryota; Metazoa; Chordata; Mammalia; Chiroptera; Pteropodidae
Also listed under: 1 other name
Source: RNAcentral
GUCUACGGCUUGCCACCCUGAACAAGCCUGAUGUCUGAUCUUGGAAGCUAAGCAGGCUCUGGCCUGGUUAGUACUCGGAUGGGAGACCACCUAGUAAGACCAGAUGCUAUAGGCA